Non-coding RNA from Paramuricea clavata, 462 nucleotides. NCBI's taxonomy places the organism in Eukaryota, Metazoa, Cnidaria, Anthozoa, Malacalcyonacea, Plexauridae. The record is from the annotation of a GenBank genome assembly.
UUAUUCAAGUCGUUUUAUUGUUAAUUACUUCUACUUUUACUCGAGUACAAAUUCAAAGUAAUUUAGGCACCACUGGGUAUAGUGGACAUACUGCGUUUACUUUUGUAAAGCAAAGAUGCUUUUUUCGCCUCAGAAGAAAGACCAUUCCACUAUACUUAAAACUUCGUUUAAGAUAGUUUGUUUUAGGUUUUUGAAGUGCUAGAUCAGUAUCAUUACUUCGAAGAUUAUAUUCUCUAUUAAGAUCUUUAACUUUUUAUAAAUUUUUCUCUAAGACUUGGAGUGGACUGUUCAUUAAGAAUUUUGUACAUCAAAACGCUUUUCACCCAAUGACGUCUUACAUCAUAUGCCCACCGACUAAUAAUCAUACACCUACUAUAUAAAGGCCGGCCAUCAAAGUUACUGUGAUCAAAGUGGCGUCAUCCCGCCCAAGCAAACCUGUGACUUAACUACUUUUAAAUUUAA